Molecule: ribosomal RNA, 250 nt
Filed under: uncultured bacterium
Lineage: Bacteria
Description: partial 16S ribosomal RNA
Rfam family: Bacterial small subunit ribosomal RNA
Source: RNAcentral
UACGUAGGGUGCGAGCGUUAAUCGGAAUUACUGGGCGUAAAGCGUGCGCAGGCGGUUUUGUAAGCCAGAUGUGAAAUCCCCGGGCUUAACCUGGGAAUGGCAUUUGGGACUGCAAGGCUGGAGUACGGCAGAGGAGACUGGAAUUCCUGGUGUAGCAGUGAAAUGCGUAGAGAUCAGGAGGAAUACCGAUGGCGAAGGCAGGUCUCUGGGCUGAUACUGACGCUCAUGCACGAAAGCGUGGGGAGCAAAC